This 1228-nucleotide ribosomal RNA is filed under the name Neisseria dumasiana. RNAcentral describes it as "bacterial SSU rRNA". It matches the Rfam family "Bacterial small subunit ribosomal RNA", at positions 234 to 1457 of the family's 1533-position model. The record is from RNAcentral. Lineage: Bacteria; Pseudomonadati; Pseudomonadota; Betaproteobacteria; Neisseriales; Neisseriaceae.
UUUCUGAUUAGCUAGUUGGUGGGGUAAAGGCCUACCAAGGCGACGAUCAGUAGCGGGUUUGAGAGGAUGAUCCGCCACACUGGGACUGAGACACGGCCCAGAUUCCUACGGGAGGCAGCAGUGGGGAAUUUUGGACAAUGGGGGGAACCCUGAUCCAGCCAUGCCGCGUGUCUGAAGAAGGCCUUCGGGUUGUAAAGGACUUUUGUCAGGGAAGAAAAGCUUGAGGUUAAUACCCUUGAGUGAUGACGGUACCUGAAGAAUAAGCACCGGCUAACUACGUGCCAGCAGCCGCGGUAAUACGUAGGGUGCGAGCGUUAAUCGGAAUUACUGGGCGUAAAGCGGGCGCAGACGGUUACUUAAGUCAGAUGUGAAAUCCCCGGGCUCAACCUGGGAACUGCGUUUGAAACUGGGUGACUAGAGUAUGUCAGAGGGGGGUAGAAUUCCACGUGUAGCAGUGAAAUGCGUAGAGAUGUGGAGGAAUACCGAUGGCGAAGGCAGCCCCCUGGGAUAAUACUGACGUUCAUGCCCGAAAGCGUGGGUAGCAAACAGGAUUAGAUACCCUGGUAGUCCACGCCCUAAACGAUGUCAAUUAGCUGUUGGGGCACUUGAUGCCUUAGUAGCGUAGCUAACGCGUGAAAUUGACCGCCUGGGGAGUACGGUCGCAAGAUUAAAACUCAAAGGAAUUGACGGGGACCCGCACAAGCGGUGGAUGAUGUGGAUUAAUUCGAUGCAACGCGAAGAACCUUACCUGGUCUUGACAUGUACGGAAUCCUCCAGAGACGGAGGAGUGCCUUCGGGAACCGUAACACAGGUGCUGCAUGGCUGUCGUCAGCUCGUGUCGUGAGAUGUUGGGUUAAGUCCCGCAACGAGCGCAACCCUUGUCAUUAGUUGCCAUCAUUAAGUUGGGCACUCUAAUGAGACUGCCGGUGACAAGCCGGAGGAAGGUGGGGAUGACGUCAAGUCCUCAUGGCCCUUAUGACCAGGGCUUCACACGUCAUACAAUGGUCGGUACAGAGGGUAGCCAAGCCGCGAGGUGGAGCCAAUCCCAGAAAACCGAUCGUAGUCCGGAUUGCACUCUGCAACUCGAGUGCAUGAAGUCGGAAUCGCUAGUAAUCGCAGGUCAGCAUACUGCGGUGAAUACGUUCCCGGGUCUUGUACACACCGCCCGUCACACCAUGGGAGUGGGGGAUACCAGAAGUAGGUAGGGUAACCGUAAGGAGCCCGCUAC